This 464-nucleotide ribosomal RNA is filed under the name uncultured bacterium. RNAcentral's name for it is "partial 16S ribosomal RNA". It matches the Rfam family "Bacterial small subunit ribosomal RNA", at positions 339 to 795 of the family's 1533-position model. The record is from RNAcentral.
CUACGGGAGGCAGCAGUGGGGAAUAUUGCACAAUGGGCGCAAGCCUGAUGCAGCCAUGCCGCGUGUAUGAAGAAGGCCUUCGGGUUGUAAAGUACUUUCAGCGGGGGGGAAGGGAGUAAAGUUAAUACCUUUGCUCAUUGACGUUACCCGCAGAAGGAGCACCGGCUAACUCCGUGCCAGCAGCCGCGGUAAUACGGAGGGUGCAAGCGUUAAUCGGAAUUACUGGGCGUAAAGCGCACGCAGGCGGUGUGUUAAGUCAGAUGUGAAAUCCCCGGGCUCAACCUGGGAACUGCAUCUGAUACUGGCAAGCUUGAGUCUCGUAGAGGGGGGUAGAAUUCCAGGUGUAGCGGUGAAAUGCGUAGAGAUCUGGAGGAAUACCGGUGGCGAAGGCGGCCCCCUGGACGAAGACUGACGCUCAGGUGCGAAAGCGUGGGGAGCAAACAGGAUUAGAUACCCCGGUAGUC